UUAGAUAGGGACCCCAAAAUCAUUGAUUCAUUUGGCUGUUUGACGCUUAUGGCAAGAGCUUGCCGGUCGUCAACUCCCUCAAAUGAGCCUCUUCUGGGUGAGAUCUUCGUACCGACCCACGCGAGAAGAGCUUCUCGGGGGCCCGAACUACACGACCAUCGACAUCGGGUUCUAGACAAGGGUCUCAAAGUCAUGGAUUUCCUUGACUGUUU
This 212-nucleotide long non-coding RNA is filed under the name Lathyrus oleraceus (garden pea). Its description in RNAcentral is "Pisum sativum (pea) long non-coding RNA (PSAT_LNC029856)". Lineage: Eukaryota; Viridiplantae; Streptophyta; Magnoliopsida; Fabales; Fabaceae. The record is from RNAcentral.